This is a long non-coding RNA of Balaenoptera ricei (Rice's whale), 305 nucleotides long. RefSeq lists it as uncharacterized. NCBI's taxonomy places the organism in Eukaryota, Metazoa, Chordata, Mammalia, Artiodactyla, Balaenopteridae. The transcript is spliced from 2 exons. The record is from RefSeq and is a predicted model, not a curated record.
UUUGGAAGCCACUGUUGUACAUCUUCAUCUGUUGAGCUGCAAACUGGCAAUGUCUUUCCCCUGGAGGUUACACUCUAAAGGAGAUGAAAGAAACUUGUAGCAAUAAGGACAUGACUGUAAGCCUGGAGAUGCCAGAGGCUACCACAUGAAUCUUAAGAAUGAAGCUGACACAGCAGAAGGCUGAGCCAAGAAACUUAAGAGAAACUGAAUUUUGAUUACAUUUUUGGAGCCCCUGGAUCAAGCUACUCAUGACACUAAACAACCCCAAGGCUACAUGAAUAAAUAAAUUUUUCUUUCCUAUUUAA